UCUUAGAGACUGGCAUUCAGGACAGAUUUUGUCUUGUAGGCCCCGAGUAUCAUUUGCAUUUGAAAAGAAAACAGCAUGUAUCCUAAACCAAGGUCAGUUAAUCUCUGCAAUCUUUCUUCCUCCCAAUCACUGUGAAUGAGCAUCUUCUCAGGACUGGAGAGAUGAUGACUCUUGUUUCUGCCUACUAAGGACAUGACUCAGCUUCGCAGAUUUUUUUUUUUUUUUUUGGCUGUACAAUGGAACUUGGAUGCAUUUUAAAUUAGCUUUCUCUAGGAAUCAAAGAGUAACCUCUGAGGACCCCGCUUGCUCUAAGAGGACUGAGGAAAUGUCUCCCAAACCUGUCCUUGCUGCACUGACCCCAACACUCAGAAGAACCUGACAUGAUCCAGCAAUUCCACUUUUUGAAAGAAUUCGGAGAUUCCAAUCUGAUCCUCUCCCCUGUGAUCUCUGUACCCAGUCUCUGUCUGUAUACCACACACAAUAAAGCUUGAGAGUGUCAAG
Long non-coding RNA from Manis javanica (Malayan pangolin), 501 nucleotides. RefSeq lists it as uncharacterized. Lineage: Eukaryota; Metazoa; Chordata; Mammalia; Pholidota; Manidae. The record is from RefSeq and is a predicted model, not a curated record.